Molecule: long non-coding RNA, 420 nt
Organism: Lagopus leucura (white-tailed ptarmigan)
Lineage: Eukaryota; Metazoa; Chordata; Aves; Galliformes; Phasianidae
Exons: 3
Source: RefSeq, a predicted model, not a curated record
UGUAUCUAAACAUCAGAGCUCCGCUCACCUGCAGAUGGGGUGCCGUGAGCUCUCAUGCCUUACUACAGGGAUCAGAACACGGGGAAUGACACAUCAUGCCUCCUGCAGCCUUAAACAGUAGCUAUACACCGUCUAAGCUGAAUUUCUACCGGACUUCCCCCCGCUCUGACCCCUGGUGUUUGGAAUUGAUCCAUUGCUCUUGGAAAUGGUGACUCAGCACAAGUGCAUGGCAACACCCAGGUGCAAAAUGUGACCAGAGCCUGGCCCUUGGUGUAUGGCUGCUGGGGGACAGCACAGACAGAACCUAAGAAGGAUGGGAAAAGGAGCUAAGCCCUCAACAAAUGGAGAUUGCCCAAGGAGGCUGUGGAUGCCCCAUCCCUGCAGGCAUCCAAGGCCAGGCUGGAUGUGGCUCUGGGCAGC